Molecule: ribosomal RNA, 450 nt
Filed under: uncultured bacterium
Lineage: Bacteria
Description: partial 16S ribosomal RNA
Rfam family: Bacterial small subunit ribosomal RNA
Source: RNAcentral
GUGGGGAAUUUUGGACAAUGGGCGCAAGCCUGAUCCAGCCAUUCCGCGUGCAGGAUGAAGGCCUUCGGGUUGUAAACUGCUUUUGUACGGAACGAAAAGCCUCUGGUUAAUACCCGGGGGUCAUGACGGUACCGUAAGAAUAAGCACCGGCUAACUACGUGCCAGCAGCCGCGGUAAUACGUAGGGUGCGAGCGUUAAUCGGAAUUACUGGGCGUAAAGCGUGCGCAGGCGGUGAUGUAAGACCGUUGUGAAAUCCCCGGGCUCAACCUGGGAACUGCAUCUGUGACGGCAUUGCUGGAGUGCGGCAGAGGGGGAUGGAAUUCCGCGUGUAGCAGUGAAAUGCGUAGAUAUGCGGAGGAACACCGAUGGCGAAGGCAAUCCCCUGGGCCUGCACUGACGCUCAUGCACGAAAGCGUGGGGAGCAAACAGGAUUAGAAACCCUGGUAGUCC